UGUGCGUCACCCGCCCUCGCCCGGGUUUUGUGAAGUUGCCCUGACGUGGCGGUGGCUUCGUGGCAGUCGGUCAGCCCCGGCGCCGGUCACUGCGCGGUCGCCGCUAGGCCCGCUAAGGUCGCUCCGGGGUCUGCAAAAGCGGGCGGCGUCCCCGUCUUCCUCUCGGCUUGGGCCCGCGGAGGCCGACCCUUCGCCGGGCCCCUCCGGGGUUCCCCGGCGCUCGCGGGUAUAAUUAUGCGAGGAACUGCGCGGCCGGAAGCGGCCCGGCCCUACCCGCUGCCGGCGGGCUCCGGGACCCCCGGGCUGAGUCCAGAGGGGCCCGGGGCCUGGCUGCUCGCGCGCUGCUCCGCGGGGUCGUGGGCCGCUUUGUUUGGGAGCCAGGAGCUGAUGGGGGUAAAGAAGAGCAAUCCAGUGAUAAGGAAAUUGAGUAGGAUUUUUCUAACUUCUUUUUUAGUAAUGUGAUUGGGUGCAAGACACUUCUAAGCAUUGUGGGAGUUGAAAAAAAGAAUUAUAACUAGUCAGAUAAAACUGAGGGAAAUACAUUGAAUUUGGGGGAAAGCAUGCAACCUUAAGGACGCAGUACAUGCUUCGUUCUAGAAAAAAUGGGAUUCCGAGGAAGAAGCCUAUGGGUUCUUGAAGGCUUAAGAGAGGGGUGAGAACUGAGGAAAAGAGGAAGAUGGGGUGGAUGAAAAGGGAAGGAAGGAACUCUUGGUGAGAUGAAGCAGGGUUGAUCUAGUUGGGCCAGUUAUAUUUCAUCACAUAAAGAAUUGUACCAGCAAGCUUUCGUAAAGAAUGAAAUUGAGAUGGAAGGGAAGAAAUGGAGGAUAUCUAACAUUAAAUUGGAUGGGACCUUUCAAGCCAUUCCAUGAUGUUUUCUGAGAAGCAAACGGAUGAUCCGAGUGGCUGAGAUACGCAAACAAAGCCAAUGUGCGGCUUCGUUCAUUUAUUCAUUCUUUGUGUUAAAUAUUCAAAUUGUUUAACACUUGACAGUUCUGCAAAAGCCUGUGGCUGGUGCAAGAGGCCUUCCAGUAAAGAGGCUUCUGAAAUAGGUACCGUCGUUCCCAUCUGAGAGCUAAGGAAACAGUUCUGGAAGCCAAGGAACCGCUUGGUUACUCCGCCUCCAGAAGACACCACCACCUCCUCUUUUCCUUGGCAUUGAAGGGUUUCAGGACAGCACCCCACCCCCACGCCCAAUGUGCCACUUGGCAUAUGGAUUAUUCUGAGCUGAAGGCACUUGAGAUCCUGAGAGUGCAAAAGAAAACUUUUGUCCCUCUUCAAUCACAUAGAAGAAUCUAAAUUGAGAGUCUUUCCAGAAAAAGCAUUAUUAGCAGAGAUAAAUCUUAUCUGAGUGACCCACCUGUAUUGCAGGGCAGACAUCUAAUUACCAAACAUCUGUUCUCCUGUCCAUUAAGUGUUUUCCUUUCCAGUGAAGUUCCAGGUCCCAACCCCUUCUUAGUUCGGGAUGACGUAUAGAUCUCAUUUUGCCUGUCUUUGUAGUUUCCAUGUCUGUAUGGAUUCCCUGUACCUACACUAUUAAAUUUAUCCUAUUUAUCUA
Long non-coding RNA from Mustela lutreola (European mink), 1555 nucleotides. RefSeq lists it as uncharacterized. The record is from RefSeq and is a predicted model, not a curated record. The transcript is spliced from 2 exons. NCBI's taxonomy places the organism in Eukaryota, Metazoa, Chordata, Mammalia, Carnivora, Mustelidae.